This 465-nucleotide ribosomal RNA is filed under the name Vreelandella stevensii. Its description in RNAcentral is "partial 16S ribosomal RNA". It matches the Rfam family "Bacterial small subunit ribosomal RNA", at positions 338 to 795 of the family's 1533-position model. Lineage: Bacteria; Pseudomonadati; Pseudomonadota; Gammaproteobacteria; Oceanospirillales; Halomonadaceae. The record is from RNAcentral.
CCUACGGGGGGCUGCAGUGGGGAAUAUUGGACAAUGGGGGGAACCCUGAUCCAGCCACGCCGCGUGUGUGAAGAAGGCCCUCGGGUUGUAAAGCACUUUCAGUGAGGAAGAACGCCUGGUGGUUAAUACCCAUCAGGAAAGACAUCACUCACAGAAGAAGCACCGGCUAACUCCGUGCCAGCAGCCGCGGUAAUACGGAGGGUGCGAGCGUUAAUCGGAAUUACUGGGCGUAAAGCGCGCGUAGGUGGCUUGAUAAGCCGGUUGUGAAAGCCCCGGGCUCAACCUGGGAACGGCAUCCGGAACUGUCAAGCUAGAGUGCAGGAGAGGAAGGUAGAAUUCCCGGUGUAGCGGUGAAAUGCGUAGAGAUCGGGAGGAAUACCAGUGGCGAAGGCGGCCUUCUGGACUGACACUGACACUGAGGUGCGAAAGCGUGGGUAGCAAACAGGAUUAGAUACCCUAGUAGUC